AUCUCCAGCUUUUGCUUAUUUUUUUUCGUUUGUUCAUCGCGUUUGUUUGCAUCUUGGCCACUUUUGAGUGCUGAUUGCUAGAGCGCAUGCUUUUCUUUCUAUUGUUUCUUGGAUUUGAUGGUUAUGUUAUGGUUAACUCGCACCAUUAGCCCCCUGUGCUGUUGAGGUUUGGAGCAGGGAAAACUGCGGGAAAAGGGUAUCUAUGGGUGCAAAAUCAAUCCAGUUGGACAUGGGCUAUGUUACUUCUGUGGAAGCCAGCGAUUUUCCUCGGAAUCAAUUUUUCUGUCCACAUUCACCUUGGUGUUCUGUAGUUUGGAUUCGCUUAGUAUGUUUUAGAUCGAUUUUGUCGAGCACAUGAUGAUGUUACAGUUGUUUAGAAGCGAAAUGAGGAGGCGAAAUCAUCUGAAUUUAUGCUGUGGAUAUUACCUACAUGGUCUUCAAAGUUCUCUGAUCGCUUCAUGUUCAAAUCUCAUGUGUAGCUUGAUGUGUUUUGCUUACCUGAUUUCUGCUAGAUGCAACAUAGAAGCAAAAUGAGGAAUCAACACAUCUGAAGUUUUGCUUACCUGAUUUCUGCUAGAUGUACUAUAGCCAAGGAAAUCAACACAUCUGAAGUCUACCUACUGUGGAUCUUAUCCAAUUGGUGCCUAUCUAGAUUUACCUUUGCAUUUUUCUUAUCUUCAUUGCCAUAUGUGUACACUCUUGUUGCCGAGGGAAAAAUAUGCAUGUUUUAAGUUGUGAAGAAAAAUGAGAACUCAUGUGAUCUGAAGUAUCUGAUGCUGAUACAUCCGUAUAUGAUUUCAAAGUUCUCUGAUUGCUUACUUGCGCGCACAGCCCUCUUAUCCAAUUGGUGAAUAUCUAGGUUUACUUGACAUUUUCUUUUCUUUGCAAAAUGAUUCAUUCUUUCUUGAAACUUGAUGUUGACCGAGGAUGAAAAUGCAUGUUUUAUGUGUGUUUGCACAGUUCGUAAGGAAGUGAGAAUUGUUGCACCUCUGCUUUGUAUGCCCUGCUCUCUGACUGUUUGUGGGGUAUUUACAUUGGUGCAAAAAGGAAAAGCUGCUCCUUGGAGCAGCAGCGGCCAGACAACCGUAGAGAUAGAUCCACAGAUGAAUGGCUAAUCUGCUGCUUGUCUACUAAUUCUAUCUCACAUUUCUAAUGAUUAUUUUCCUGUAUUUUAGAGACAUCCAGUAUGUAGUGUCUGUUGCACCUGUGAUGUAUUGUCCUACUUGCGGUGCUAGUAGGAUAUAACACUGGUGCAGAAAGGAAAAGUUGCUCCUUGGAGCAGCAGCGGCCAGACAACCGUAGAGAUAGAUCCACAGAUGAAUGGCUAAUCUGCUGCUUGUCUACUAAUUCUAUCUCACAUUUUGAAUGAUUAUUUUCCUGUAUUUAGAGACAUAGGGUAAUUUAGCAAUGCACAAAUAUCCAGUAUGUAGUGUCUAUGUUGCACAUGUGUUGUAUUGUCCUACUUACUUGCCGUGCUAGUAGGAUAUAACACUGGUGCAGAAAGGAAAAGCUGCUCCUUGGAGCAGCAGCGGCCAGACAACCGUAGAGAUAGGUCCACAGAUGAAUGGCUAAUCUGCUGCUUGUCUACUAAUUCUAUCUCACAUUUCUGGUUAUUUUCCUGUAUUUUAGUGUCAUGGGAUAAUUAAGCGUUGCACAAAUAUCCAGUAUGUAGUGUCUAUGUUGCACCUGUGUGUUGUAUUGUCCUACUUUCUUGCCAUGCUAGUAGGAUAUAACACUGGUGCAGAAAGGAAAAGCUGCUCCUUGGAGCAGCAGCGGCCAGACAACCGUAGAGAUAGAUCCACAGAUGAAUGGCUAACAUGCUGUUUGUCUACUAAAUCUAUCCCACAUUUCUUGCCUGCAACGGUUGGCAUGUUUGCUCUAACAUGCUUGUCAAGAUAGCUGUGCAUUGUGUCAAAAUGCUUGUUGUUUCAAAAAAUAUAUUUGUUGGUGUUCACUUGUGCAUUACUGCACCUUUAAUUUGUACAUAUCUGCUUUCUUGUUAGUUGGCAGGAUUUUCGUAUGACAGUACUGACACACAAUCCAUAAUGAAUAAAUCAAAGUGCAGCAGAACCAUUAGAUUGACUAUUGUACAUAAAUCAUAACAAAAAAUUGUAUGUAGAGUAGUUCUGUUCUUAUUAUGAUUGUGUGAUGUUAAACAUGGUGCACAAAUGAAAUGCUCCAUGCAUCCAUAUAUGGUCUUCAAAGUUCUCUGAUUGUUGUGUUUACGUCUUACUGAUGUCUAUGAGUCAAAGUUACAGUGUUUUAUGUGGUUGAAAAGCAAAGUGAGGAGAUUAUAUGAUCUGAAGUAUCUAAUGUGGAUACAACCAUACAUGGUCUUCAAAGUUCUCUGAUUGUUUCUCAUAACUCUUUUCUUCAUUGAUGUUACCCGAGGAAGAAAAAACAUGUUAAAGUUGUUAUGAAGCAAAAUGAUAUCCAUACACAGUCUUCAAAGUUCUCCUAUUGGUAUUGUUUUCUUCCUUUGUUGGUGGAUAUAUCUUUUUAGUGUGUAAUGGGUAUUGUUUGAGUUGAAGUUUCAGUGCUUUAUGUAGUUGAAAAGCAAAAUGAGGAGAUUAUAUGAUCUGAAAGUAUCUGCUGUUGAUACAACCAUACAUGGCCUUCAAAGUUCUCUGAUUGUUUAUUGUAGCUUGUACCUACACAUGCUGGUAUUUGUUUCUUUUUUGUGGCAAUUUUUUUAUGUUGUAUGAUGAUUCCUGGAUAAAAAAAGUGUUUUAUGCCAUUCAGAAGCAAAAUGAGGAGGUUAUAUAAUCUGAAGUAUCUAAGAGCAUCUCCAACAGCCGCGCUAAACUAGCGCCGCGCCGCAAAAUAGGCCUUUUUAGCGCGCGCGCAACGCGGCGGCUCGCUCCAGCGGGCGCGCUAAAACGGCACGCGUGCGAUAACGGAUUGGGCGCGCGGUCAAAAACACUUAUCCGCGCGAUGUAUUUGGAGCGCGCGGCACACUCGAGCGCACGCGCUUGCACUCUCCCUCUCCUCGUCCUACGCCCCGCGCGCGCCGGCGUUGGUG
This 3022-nucleotide long non-coding RNA is filed under the name Triticum aestivum (bread wheat). RNAcentral describes it as "long non-coding RNA (TAES_LNC012331)". The stretch from base 1439 to 1606 matches the Rfam family "small nucleolar RNA snoR143". Lineage: Eukaryota; Viridiplantae; Streptophyta; Magnoliopsida; Poales; Poaceae. The record is from RNAcentral.